Mus musculus (house mouse) is the source of this 958-nucleotide long non-coding RNA. RefSeq annotates it as predicted gene, 30790. The transcript has 4 exons. The record is from RefSeq and is marked validated. NCBI's taxonomy places the organism in Eukaryota, Metazoa, Chordata, Mammalia, Rodentia, Muridae.
AAGCAAGCCAGUAAAGAACAUCCCUCCAUGGCUUCUGCAUCAGAUCCUGCUUCCUGACCUGCUUGAGUUCCAGUCCUGACUUCCUUGGUGAUAAACAGCAAUGUGGAAAUCCUCUGUGGGAAACCAGCAAGCUGGAUUCAUCAACCCCACCUGAGUGGUGAAGGCGUACAAUUUAAAGAGUUGCAAAACUCCUACUUUCCUUUCUCCCACACUGGGAAGCCAUUGCUUCUCCUGGGCACGGCAAUGUUUUCACAUCACAGGGAACAGAUCCUGUGAGUGCUAUCAGGCCACCUGUAUCCUAAUGUGCGAAAGGUCCAAAAGGAGCAGUGGGUUCCUUGAAUGACAUAAUCUCAUGAAGCUCAAGCCAGCCUUCCUUCAACUUGUUAUGCACCCUUCACUGUCUCUGAACUCUUGAUGCUCCUGUUUCUAUGUCCCAAGAGCAGGGGACAACAGGCACAUGUUACUAUAACCCCCAAAGGUUUUGUAUAGUGAAAUCUUAAUGAAAAUAAAGCCAUAGUUGGUUUCCAGGCAUGUAUCAUAUGAAAAAAGAAGUUGUUUUCAAAGAUCAAUCAACAAAAUACUUUGAUUUCUUAGACUUUUACAAAUGUUCUCGUACUCUUUAUCUUACUUACUUUUCAAAUUGAUGACCAAACACCCAACAAAAGGCAAUUUAAGGGUGGAACUGUUGCGGGAAAUAUUAAAAAUGGAUCCCACCAACUCUCUGGAGCUAGCAACCCCCGCCCUCAGCAUCUGGCCCGCUUGUCCCAAGAGCCAUUAGUUCCUUCUCUGCUAUAAUCCCCUGUAACUGGCUGUCCCACAUUCCAGUAACCAAGUAGAUCUGCCAUCCUCGUGGUUUGAUCACACAUUAUCCAGUGACCUGGUAAAAUUAAGACUCUUAAGCUUAUAACCAAUUAGACUUAUGUAUCAAGAUGCCAAUAAAUAAUUUCAGAGCCAAUUG